UGCAAGCUUCUUUCCGUCAACACAGGCUUUGAGACUCGUCCACACUGGGCCAUCUGCAUGUGUGCAUGUGUACAGUCAAGCACCCACCAGCACACUGGGCUGCGGACCGUCACGUGUGGGCCAGGGUGCAGGAGACGCAGCCCUGACCUAUGGCUGUGAAAGCGGCUUUAAAUUUAACCCAUGGCCGCAGAGUGUCUGACCGCCCCUCAAGAGAACAGCCACUGCUCCUCUGGCUCUGUCUUGAGGGAGAAGUCAUGCAGGAACGAGGGAGCCAGCAUUCGUCAGGCCUCCAGCAGCACCAGGAUGCAGUCGUGCAACUGUGGACGCUGAGGGGACACGGACAGCUCCCUGAGCAGCUGGACACUCCGGCGCCAGCAAAGCGCGGUGGUAGGGAGCGGCAGUGUGUCCCAGAGGGUGGCAGGCUGGUGAAGGUGUGCUGCCGCCACAGGCUACAGGCACAGGCCGCCUCCCGGCUGCCCGAUGGCUCUCGAGCUGGGACUUUAACCCCACGUGCGUGGGGACACGUGCCUGUCAUCUGAGUUCCCCGACGGCGGGAUUUCAUCCAUCAGCUUGGUCUGGCAAGACACCAUCAGUGUCUAGCUCCCUGGCAGGAAGCUGUGUCGAGGCGGGCACUUUGCUUGGCACGGUCAGUGCGCCCACAAUAGUGGCCUGUCUCCGUUGCCGCUUCAGAGCCCAGGCUCGCGAGGGCCCCUUCGCCUCUGUGCUGCUAUCACAGGUUGCAGAGAAACCCGUUUGGCGUGUGCACAAGUGUCGCCAGGGAUUCUGGGGCUCCAAACAGGCGGCACAUGCCUCCCCUUUGUGCUCUCCCCGGGGGCGCUCACACACUUUCCCCACGUGCUGCCCAUGGGGGAAGCAGGGGGCACACGCCCGCUCAUUUUCUUCCCCCUGAAGUCCCCACUCGGAAACUCCAGUUCCUGAGGACAGACCGUGGCGAGCUCUGGGAAGCAGCCACGGGGCGCGCGGAAGGUGGAGCUGCGGCUCGCAGCAGGAAAGAUGACGAAACAGGUGUAUCAAUCGGGGAGGCCAGUGUUCGGGGCUUAGGAGUGCCACACAGAACGCGGGGAGCUACGGCCCCUUCCCAGGGAGAGCACUGGCCUCAGCAGCACCCCAGAGGAAGGAGCCGAAGACUGCAUUGGGCUUCCCCGGGAAGCCGUCUAAGAACAGGGCGCUGCCAUGAAGACCGAGGUAGACAAGCCCCACCCUUUCCAGUGAGCUUUCCAGGACCCCUUCUCAAAUCUCAGGUGACAGCGGGGGGGUCACCAGACGUGUGACAGGGUCUCUGCCGUGAAGGCAUGGCAGACUGCCAAAACAGGAGGGAGACAAUUUGUGGGAAGCAGGACUUGAGCAGUGAAAAGCACUUCAUGUUGUUUACGAUAUUUGUAGAGAAAUCGUUUCUUUAAAUCUUGUUAAUUUCCUCAAGAAGACAAUAGAAUUAGAAAAUAUCCAUGAAAGGAUAGAAUGCUACAAGGGAACAUUCAGAGACAAAUUCAGAACUUUCUUUUCUGUUACAAUAUUUUAUAAUUGA
Long non-coding RNA from Condylura cristata (star-nosed mole), 1546 nucleotides. RefSeq lists it as uncharacterized. The record is from RefSeq and is a predicted model, not a curated record. NCBI's taxonomy places the organism in Eukaryota, Metazoa, Chordata, Mammalia, Eulipotyphla, Talpidae. The transcript has 3 exons.